Long non-coding RNA from Nerophis ophidion (straightnose pipefish), 800 nucleotides. RefSeq lists it as uncharacterized. The record is from RefSeq and is a predicted model, not a curated record. NCBI's taxonomy places the organism in Eukaryota, Metazoa, Chordata, Actinopteri, Syngnathiformes, Syngnathidae. The transcript has 3 exons.
UGUGUGUGUGUUACACAGAACAUCAGUUUCCACACUUCUAUUAGUGGAGCCAGACAUCUUAUACGUAAUAGAAAUGUGUAGGGGGGUGUACAGUAUGGUGCGUGGUCAUUAAAUAUAUAUUCUGAUAUAUGUUAAAAGUCAGUGAGUCUCAGUUAUAAAAAAUAAUUAACUAUCAUUUUUCUUUUAAUAAAAAAAAUGAAAAGGGGUCCCACAGACCCGAAAACCACACACGGGGUUAAUCAGAAUUUUUAUUACCAUUUUGAGCAUGUUGCUGGCGGAGGGCUUCACACUUCUCCUCAGGGCGUUGUGCUUGUUCACGAUCUCAGUCUGCUCCGAGGACGAGGCCAGGACACUUUCUGACAUCACAGCAGAGCAAAGUUAUUUCUAGUUAAAGUUGGGAGUGUGUGAAUAAAGUUGUGGAAGAUCAGUGAUGACUGUACUCACCCUCCUUCAGGUCGGUCCAUCACGGGAGAGGAAACACAUUUUCAACAAUUUGCUGACAUUGAUUUUUCAAGCAUGUCUAAUUGUACUUACAGCCAACAACUCCACGUCAUUCUCCGAGCUGGCCGACACCCGCAGGGCGGCACAGAGGCCCAAAGCGCACAGGAAGGCGAAGACGUACGAGUUCAUCGCUAGAUUCCAGGCUCACACCUUCUAAGGAACACAGGGUAAAGGAACAUCAAUAAAAGAUGCACUGGCCAAAUGGGAGGAGAAGACCGGGGAGAAGUGCGCUGAGGCCACGGUGGUCAAGUUGUACAAUCAGAUCCCCCCCAUCGAGAAGCUGGACAACACGCUCAACA